UACGAAGGGGGCUAGCGUUGUUCGGAAUUACUGGGCGUAAAGCGCACGUAGGCGGAUCGAUCAGUCAGGGGUGAAAUCCCAGGGCUCAACCCUGGAACUGCCUUUGAUACUGGCGAUCUCGAGUCCGGGAGAGGUGAGUGGAACUGCGAGUGUAGAGGUGAAAUUCGUAGAUAUUCGCAAGAACACCAGUGGCGAAGGCGGCUCACUGGCCCGGUACUGACGCUGAGGUGCGAAAGCGUGGGGAGCAAACAGG
This 253-nucleotide ribosomal RNA is filed under the name uncultured bacterium. RNAcentral's name for it is "partial 16S ribosomal RNA". It matches the Rfam family "Bacterial small subunit ribosomal RNA", at positions 524 to 776 of the family's 1533-position model. The record is from RNAcentral.